CACCGCGGUUAUACGAGGGGCCCGAGUCGAUAGCCCUCGGCGUAAAGGGUGGUUAGGAGACGUACUUAAAACUAAAGGUAAAUAACUUCAAAGCUGUUAUACGCUCAUGAAGUCAAGAGAAUCAACUACGAAAGUGACUUUAUAACUUCUGAAUCCACGAAAGCUAUGGCA
Molecule: ribosomal RNA, 171 nt
Filed under: Halichoeres melanochir (orangefin wrasse)
Lineage: Eukaryota; Metazoa; Chordata; Actinopteri; Labriformes; Labridae
Description: partial 12S rRNA
Source: RNAcentral